This 487-nucleotide unclassified non-coding RNA is filed under the name Hevea brasiliensis (rubber tree). Lineage: Eukaryota; Viridiplantae; Streptophyta; Magnoliopsida; Malpighiales; Euphorbiaceae. The record is from RNAcentral.
CAUUCUUCAAGCUGGUGUUCAUGUAGUAGUUGGAACACCUGGUCGUGUGUUUGACAUGUUAAGGAGGCAGUCUCUUCGCCCAGAUUGUAUUAAGAUGUUUGUAUUGGAUGAAGCUGAUGAAAUGCUUUCUCGAGGUUUCAAAGAUCAGAUCUAUGACAUUUUCCAGCUGUUGCCGUCAAAAAUUCAAGUUGGGGUAUUCUCCGCCACAAUGCCACCAGAAGCUUUGGAGAUCACGAGGAAAUUCAUGAACAAGCCUGUCAGAAUCUUGGUAAAACGUGAUGAGCUUACUUUGGAGGGUAUCAAACAAUUUUACGUAAAUGUCGAUAAGGAAGAUUGGAAGCUCGAAACUCUAUGUGAUCUCUACGAGACUCUGGCUAUCACUCAAAGUGUUAUUUUUGUUAACACACGUCGCAAGGUCGAUUGGCUUACAGACAAGAUGAGAAGCCGAGACCAUACCGUAUCAGCCACCCAUGGUGACAUGGACCAG